UACGAGGGGGGCGAGCGUUGUUCGGAAUUAUUGGGCGUAAAGGGUGCGUAGGCGGUUUGGUAAGUCUGAUGUGAAAUCUAUGGGCUCAACUCAUAGUCUGCAUCGGAAACUGCCGGGCUUGAGUGUGGGAGAGGUGAGUGGAAUUCCUGGUGUAGCGGUGAAAUGCGUAGAUAUCAGGAGGAACACCUGUGGCGAAAAGCGGCUCACUGGACCAUAACUGACGCUGAUGCACGAAAAGCUAGGGGGAGCAAACAGG
This 256-nucleotide ribosomal RNA is filed under the name uncultured bacterium. Its description in RNAcentral is "partial 16S ribosomal RNA". It matches the Rfam family "Bacterial small subunit ribosomal RNA", at positions 524 to 776 of the family's 1533-position model. The record is from RNAcentral.